RNAcentral lists this ribosomal RNA (492 nucleotides) under uncultured bacterium. Its description in RNAcentral is "partial 16S ribosomal RNA". It matches the Rfam family "Bacterial small subunit ribosomal RNA", at positions 29 to 507 of the family's 1533-position model. The record is from RNAcentral.
AGUGAACGCUGGCGGUAGGCCUAACACAUGCAAGUCGAACGGCAGCACAGUAAGAGCUUGCUCUUACGGGUGGCGAGUGGCGGACGGGUGAGGAAUACAUCGGAAUCUACUUUUUCGUGGGGGAUAACGUAGGGAAACUUACGCUAAUACCGCAUACGACCUACGGGUGGAAGCAGGGGAUCUUCGGACCUUGCGCGAUUGAAUGAGCCGAUGUCGGAUUAGCUAGUUGGCGGGGUAAGGGCCCACCAAGGCGACGAUCCGUAGCUGGUCUGAGAGGAUGAUCAGCCACACUGGGACUGGGACACGGUCCAGACUCCUACGGGAGGCAGCAGUGGGGAAUAUUGGACAAUGGGCGCAAGCCUGAUCCAGCCAUACCGCGUGGGUGAAGAAGGCCUUCGGGUUGUAAAGCCCUUUUGUUGGGAAAGAAAAGCAGCAGGUUAAUACCCCGCUGUUCUGACGGUACCCAAAGAAUAAGCACCGGCUAACUUCGUG